UGGUUCAAUGGUUAAGAACACUUGACUGUUCUUCCAGAGGUUCUGGGUUCAAUUCCCAG
This 59-nucleotide transfer RNA is filed under the name Neotoma lepida (desert woodrat). It matches the Rfam family "tRNA", at positions 8 to 63 of the family's 71-position model. Rfam says of the family: Transfer RNA (tRNA) molecules are approximately 80 nucleotides in length. Their secondary structure includes four short double-helical elements and three loops (D, anti-codon, and T loops). Further hydrogen bonds mediate the characteristic L-shaped molecular structure. tRNAs have two regions of fundamental functional importance: the anti-codon, which is responsible for specific mRNA codon recognition, and the 3' end, to which the tRNAs corresponding amino acid is attached (by aminoacyl-tRNA synthetases). tRNAs cope with the degeneracy of the genetic code in two manners: having more than one tRNA (with a specific anti-codon) for a particular amino acid; and 'wobble' base-pairing, i.e. permitting non-standard base-pairing at the 3rd anti-codon position. Lineage: Eukaryota; Metazoa; Chordata; Mammalia; Rodentia; Cricetidae. The record is from Rfam by way of RNAcentral.